This 558-nucleotide ribosomal RNA is filed under the name uncultured fungus. Its description in RNAcentral is "bacterial SSU rRNA". It matches the Rfam family "Eukaryotic small subunit ribosomal RNA", at positions 194 to 755 of the family's 1831-position model. The record is from RNAcentral. Lineage: Eukaryota; Fungi.
GGAAGGGGUGUAUUUAUUAGAUUAAAAACCAAUGCCCUUCGGGGCUCCUUGGUGAUUCAUAAUAACUUAACGAAUCGCACGGCCUUGCGCUGGCGAUGGUUCAUUCAAAUUUCUGCCCUAUCAACUUUCGACGGCUGGGUCUUGGCCAGCCAUGGUGACAACGGGUAACGGAGGGUUAGGGCUCGACCCCGGAGAAGGAGCCUGAGAAACGGCUACUACAUCCAAGGAAGGCAGCAGGCGCGCAAAUUACCCAAUCCCGACUCGGGGAGGUGGUGACAAUAAAUAACAAUAUAGGGCUCUUUUGGGUCUUAUAAUUGGAAUGAGUACAAUUUAAAUCUCUUAACGAGGAACAAUUGGAGGGCAAGUCUGGUGCCAGCAGCCGCGGUAAUUCCAGCUCCAAUAGCGUAUAUUAAAGUUGUUGCAGUUAAAAAGCUCGUAGUUGAACUUCAGAUCUGGUUGAGUGGUCCGCCUAACGGUGUGUUACUGCUUGACUGGGUCUUGUCUCUUGGUGAACCGUUGUGUUCUUUAUUGAAUGCUUCGGGGAACCAGGACUUUUAC